AGUGAACGCUGGCGGUAGGCCUAACACAUGCAAGUCGAACGGCAGCACAGUAAGAGCUUGCUCUUACGGGUGGCGAGUGGCGGACGGGUGAGGAAUACAUCGGAAUCUACUUUUUCGUGGGGGAUAACGUAGGGAAACUUACGCUAAUACCGCAUACGACCUACGGGUGAAAGCAGGGAAUCUUCGGACCUUGCGCGAUUGAAUGAGCCGAUUUCGGAUUAGCUAGUUGGCGGGGUAAAGGCCCACCAAGGCGACGAUCCGUAGCUGGUCUGAGAGGAUGAUCAGCCACACUGGAACUGAGACACGGUCCAGACUCCUACGGGAGGCAGCAGUGGGGAAUAUUGGACAAUGGGCGCAAGCCUGAUCCAGCCAUACCGCGUGGGUGAAGAAGGCCUUCGGGUUGUAAAGCCCUUUUGUUGGGAAAGAAAAGCAGCAGGUUAAUACCCCGCUGUUCUGACGGUACCCAAAGAAUAAGCACCGGCUAACUUCGUG
This 492-nucleotide ribosomal RNA is filed under the name uncultured bacterium. RNAcentral's name for it is "partial 16S ribosomal RNA". It matches the Rfam family "Bacterial small subunit ribosomal RNA", at positions 29 to 507 of the family's 1533-position model. The record is from RNAcentral.